GUGUUGUACAGCAGAAAUCUCAAGUAAUGUAAUACUUAAGCUGACACAGCUUCCAGGAUCUGCUUCAUGAUCUUCCCUGGCAGAGAUGAGGCUGACAGAAUCAUAGAAUGGCUUGUGUUGGAAGGGACCUGAAAGAUCAUCUAAUUGCAACCUCCGUUUGCAGAGAAUCGUAGAAUGGCUUGGGCUGGAAAGGACCCC
Molecule: long non-coding RNA, 198 nt
Organism: Lagopus leucura (white-tailed ptarmigan)
Lineage: Eukaryota; Metazoa; Chordata; Aves; Galliformes; Phasianidae
Exons: 4
Source: RefSeq, a predicted model, not a curated record